This 292-nucleotide ribosomal RNA is filed under the name uncultured bacterium. RNAcentral's name for it is "partial 16S ribosomal RNA". It matches the Rfam family "Bacterial small subunit ribosomal RNA", at positions 505 to 796 of the family's 1533-position model. The record is from RNAcentral.
GUGUCAGCCGCCGCGGUAAUACAGAGACGUCAAGCGUUGUUCGGAUUCAUUGGGCGUAAAGGGUCCGUAGGCGGUCGGGUAAGUCGGAUGUGAAAUCUCGAGGCUCAACCUCGAUAGGUCAUUCGAAACUGCUCGGCUCGAGGAGUGGAGAGGAGACUGGAAUGGCUGGUGUAGCGGUGAAAUGCGUAGAGAUCAGCCAGAACACCGGUGGCGAAGGCGAGUCUCUGGACAUCUCCUGACGCUGAGGGACGAAAGCCAGGGGAGCAAACGGGAUUAGAAACCCCCGUAGUCC